RNAcentral lists this transfer RNA (73 nucleotides) under Candidatus Zixiibacteriota bacterium. It matches the Rfam family "tRNA". From Rfam's summary of the family: Transfer RNA (tRNA) molecules are approximately 80 nucleotides in length. Their secondary structure includes four short double-helical elements and three loops (D, anti-codon, and T loops). Further hydrogen bonds mediate the characteristic L-shaped molecular structure. tRNAs have two regions of fundamental functional importance: the anti-codon, which is responsible for specific mRNA codon recognition, and the 3' end, to which the tRNAs corresponding amino acid is attached (by aminoacyl-tRNA synthetases). tRNAs cope with the degeneracy of the genetic code in two manners: having more than one tRNA (with a specific anti-codon) for a particular amino acid; and 'wobble' base-pairing, i.e. permitting non-standard base-pairing at the 3rd anti-codon position. RNAcentral also lists the same sequence under 1 other name. Lineage: Bacteria; Pseudomonadati; Candidatus Zixiibacteriota. The record is from Rfam by way of RNAcentral.
GCCCAAGUAGCUCAGUUGGUAGAGCACGUCCUUGGUAAGGACGAGGUCAUCAGUUCAAUCCUGAUCUUGGGCU